AGUGAACGCUGGCGGUAGGCCUAACACAUGCAAGUCGAACGGCAGCACAGUAAGAGCUUGCUCUUACGGGUGGCGAGUGGCGGACGGGUGAGGAAUACAUCGGAAUCUACUUUUUCGUGGGGGAUAACGUAGGGAAACUUACGCUCAUACCGCAUACGACCUACGGGUGAAAGCAGGGGAUCUUCGGACCUUGCGCGAUUGAAUGAGCCGAUGUCGGAUUAGCUAGUUGGCGGGGUAAAGGCCCACCAAGGCGACGAUCCGUAGCUGGUCUGAGAGGAUGGUCAGCCACACUGGAACUGAGACACGGUCCAGACGCCUACGGGAGGCAGCAGUGGGGAAUAUUGGACAAUGGGCGCAAGCCUGAUCCAGCCAUACCGCGUGGGUGAAGAAGGCCUUGGGGUUGUAAAGACCUUUUGUUGGGAAAGAAAAGCAGCAGGUUAAUACCCCGCUGUUCUGACGGUACCCAAAGAAUAAGCACCGGCUAACUUCGUG
This 492-nucleotide ribosomal RNA is filed under the name uncultured bacterium. Its description in RNAcentral is "partial 16S ribosomal RNA". It matches the Rfam family "Bacterial small subunit ribosomal RNA", at positions 29 to 507 of the family's 1533-position model. The record is from RNAcentral.